RNAcentral lists this ribosomal RNA (471 nucleotides) under uncultured bacterium. RNAcentral's name for it is "partial 16S ribosomal RNA". It matches the Rfam family "Bacterial small subunit ribosomal RNA", at positions 28 to 506 of the family's 1533-position model. The record is from RNAcentral.
GACGAACGCUGGCGGCGUGCUUAACACAUGCAAGUCGAACGCUGAAGCUUGGUGCUUGCACUGGGUGGAUGAGUGGCGAACGGGUGAGUAAUACGUGAGUAACCUGCCCUUGACUCUGGGAUAAGCCUGGGAAACUGGGUCUAAUACUGGAUAUGACAUGCCACUGCAUGGUGGUGUGUGGAAAGGGUUUUACUGGUUUUGGAUGGGCUCACGGCCUAUCAGCUUGUUGGUGGGGUAAUGGCCUACCAAGGCGACGACGGGUAGCCGGCCUGAGAGGGUGACCGGCCACACUGGGACUGGGACACGGCCCAGACUCCUACGGGAGGCAGCAGUGGGGAAUAUUGCACAAUGGGCGGAAGCCUGAUGCAGCGACGCCGCGUGAGGGAUGACGGCCUUCGGGUUGUAAACCUCUUUCAGCACGGAAGAAGCGAGAGUGACGGUACGUGCAGAAGAAGCGCCGGCUAACUACGU